AGAAGAAUAACAACCGCAUUAGUUGUUUAGAGUUGUGACGAUUGCAAAAAUGGCAAAGAGGUGUGUUUUCGGCUGUUUGUCGAACAAAACCCUUUUCGGUAUCCCACGUCCACCUUGGCUACGGUCCCGCUGGCUUGAGUUUUUGCAUUUUGAAGAGGAAGGGUUAACGGUAAACUCGCGGCUGUGCUCGAGGCAUUUCACGCCCGAGUGUUUCCAGGAUUUAACCCAGCACCAAAUGGGGUUUGCCAGGGUCUUGUAUCUGAAGAACACCGCUGUUCCGUCGGUGUAAACGGUUGGCGCAUCACAAAGUAUGAAGGUAAGUGUAUCUAGAUGGCGUGCUUAUUUUAAUAAUGCAUACCACACGCGUUUUAGCCUUUACUGAUCGGGCAUUUGUCGCGUCUGUCCGACAGCCUCUGACACGGGAUGUGGGCUGCCAGUGUACCGCUCAAACCCCAAAAAAGAGCACCUCGGUUCAAGCCUCGUUCCCAACCCCUAAACCGAAACGACGUAGUAAAGCUGUUCAAGUGAAGUCUUCAGAGCAUGCUGAUAAUGUUUGCGCCCAUCUGGAAACACCGGAGCGCACAUCAACGCCAAUGAAACGGCCGCGAAUGGAAGAAAGCAUCGAGGAUUUCAACGACAGAUCCUCGAUGACCCUGACAGACCCAAAGGAUUUCACCUAAGUAUGAACCUGAAAUCACAGAAGACCAUGAAAGGUGAUUAAUUCUCUGUAGUAGUCCGUAAGACCUGUUUUUUUGAAAAGCAUAUAGUCUUGGGGGUGAUAUAAGGGGUUUGGAGUAUAGACUUUUUGUUGUUGUAUUUGUGUGUGUGUGUGUGUGUAUGUAUGUAUGUAUGUAUAUGUAUAUAUAUAUAUAAUUUUUUAUUUUUUUUAUUUAUUUAUUUAUUUUUUUUGCAUUAGACAUUGUGCCAAACAUGGAAGUCACACAGUGCUGAAUAUGAGUGACAGUGGGGGGGGGACAUUAAAUUAGAAAAAUGAUGCUCUUGGGAAAGCGCGGAUGUGGAGAGAUUCCAUACUGGACAAAAAGCAUCAUAAACCUCCUCUUCUGGUGCACAUCCUUCAAGAUGAGAAGAAGCUGUUGCAAAGUCCAUUGGAUUGCCAGUUAUGUGGAAGAUGUUCACCAUCACAACAGUGAUAUAUUCCCUGACUGCAUCCACACACCUCUAGAGGAGAAAAUGUGGCCGAAACCAGACUGUUGAGACGCUGCUGAGGCUGCUUUCGCGGGAGGCCUUCUUCAAGCCUGGACCAUUCAGGAACAUCUAAACGAAGGUCCCUAGCCACCUGUGUGAUGCUAAUUAGUAGGGAUGUGCAGCGGAGCCAGUAUCUGUAACAAUCACUAAUUUAUUUGUAUCUGAAUACGGAUAAAACCGGAAGUAUGCGGGCUUGAACUGGAAGUUAUGUCUAUGGUUUUACAGCCUUUUUCGUAGUUAUCACUGAACAAAUUUGCUGUGUUUAACUGUAAUAAUUAUUUUUUAUGAUUAGAAUAUUUAUUUAAAUGUCUUCUAACAGUCGGAGCCAUAGACACUAAAAAAAUGGACGACGCACCUUCACUCUCUUCCACUGAAGAAAAGUGAAGCCGCCAGUGUCCCAAUAGGGCGCGGAUAUAUUGUGCUGAUUUGGGACCCGAGUCUGCGCUAGUGAGCGAAGUGGAGCCGCGUCCUGCCCACACUAUACUGCCCACCUGAGUCGAUCCCAAGCACAUGCACCUGAACCUUUUUUAAUUAGCCUGACUGCUCUAAUUUUUGUCUGCCGAUUGCCGUACAAGAGGCUUGUGCUAAAAUAAGGUAAAUGCAACUCAAAUCUCCUCCUGAACAUCCCGAAAAAGUUUGUUGGAGUGAACUGAGGCACCAACGAACUUUUUCGGGAUCUUCAGGAGGAGAUUUGAGUUGACAUUUAAAUAUACACAAAUAGUAGAAUGUGUAUGAUGUUGUAUUUUAGUUGAUAUUCUUGCCAAGCUCUGAUUUCUGAGAGAUGCACGGAGAGGCAACAGCAAUGAUUGAUUUGCGCUCAUUUCAUUCAUAAAGUUUACAUUCAUUCACUUCACACUCAUUAUUGUGUAGUGACUUUAGAGUUUUAUGUAUAAUAUUGCGCUGAUCCCCUGGCUCACCUGUUAUCCAGCAAACACCAGGAGUGACCAUGCCAGCCUCAGCCAAAUAUUAUUCAGCAGAAUUAUCCGUUAUAUAGCCAUUAUCCAUGCCUUUCUGAAUAAGGUAUUCGGCUUCGGGCACAGCCCUGCUAAUUAGAGACCUGAUGUGAAGGAAUCUGUGACCAGACACUGCUUUUGUGUUUAAAAAAAAAAACACUGGUCUCUAAAUUGUGUGUGUGUGUGUGUGUGUGUGUGUGUGUGUGUGUGUGUGUGCAGGUUUCAAGUCUCUACCUCUUCAUUAUGAGGACAUGCAGCUGUGCCUGUAAGUGUGAGUUUGAGUGAGAGAAUAAAAAAAGUUUAAUGCAUUUUUUUCUUCA
Molecule: long non-coding RNA, 2479 nt
Organism: Sinocyclocheilus anshuiensis
Lineage: Eukaryota; Metazoa; Chordata; Actinopteri; Cypriniformes; Cyprinidae
Source: Ensembl